CCGUCGUCCAGGCAAUCGGAGCCGUGGCGGGCGUGGUGUCACCGACGGUGUGCGACCGCGUGGUAGCAGAGGGGUGAUGGACUCGAAAUCGUCUGAGAAGAUAAGGGAGAUGAGCAGAUCGUCGGGGAAGCAAGCUGGAUUGCCGGCAAGAUUGACUGUGAUUGCUUGCUGAAGAAAUAGUGCAUGUAUAGGAAGAUUGUUGUGAAACUUGCUGAAGAGAAAUUGAUGUUGAAGAAUGGAACUAUUCAGCAAAAGGGAGCUAUACUGAAGAUGAAGACAUGGAGAAAGAUGAGCGCAAAGGCUCAGUUGGCACAGAAUAUGGCUAGGGGUAGAAAAGAACUAUUAUCUGUCAUUUUUGUAGUUGGAUGUAGCAUUGUGUAUGUAGUCUGUGCUUUGUAUGAAACAAUGAGAGAAUUGUGUAAGGUCAAAUGAAAUAAAAUCUGGGUUGUCAUAUUCUA
Long non-coding RNA from Lolium rigidum, 458 nucleotides. RefSeq lists it as uncharacterized. The transcript is spliced from 2 exons. Lineage: Eukaryota; Viridiplantae; Streptophyta; Magnoliopsida; Poales; Poaceae. The record is from RefSeq and is a predicted model, not a curated record.